CCAGACUCCUACGGGAGGCAGCAGUGAGGAAUAUUGGUCAAUGGGCGCAAGCCUGAACCAGCCAAGUCGCGUGAGGGAAGACGGCCCUACGGGUUGUAAACCUCUUUUGCCGGGGAGCAAGCCUGAGCACGUGUGCCCAGGCGGAGAGUACCCGGAGAAAAAGCAUCGGCUAACUCCGUGCCAGCAGCCGCGGUAAUACGGAGGAUGCGAGCGUUAUCCGGAUUUAUUGGGUUUAAAGGGAGCGUAGAUGGGUUGUUAAGUCAGUUGUGAAAGUUUGCGGCUCAACCGUAAAAUUGCAAUUGAUACUGGCAGCCUUGAGUACAGUUGAGGUAGGCGGAAUUCGUGGUGUAGCGGUGAAAUGCUUAGAUAUCACGAAGAACUCCGAUUGCGAAGGCAGCCUACUAAACUGCCACUGACAUUGAUGCUCGAAAGUGUGGGUAUCAAACAGGAUUAGAUACCCCAGUAAUG
Molecule: ribosomal RNA, 468 nt
Filed under: uncultured bacterium
Lineage: Bacteria
Description: bacterial SSU rRNA
Rfam family: Bacterial small subunit ribosomal RNA
Source: RNAcentral